CCAUAGCUAGGCUUCCUGUAACCUUCCUCUUGUUCCUCAGAUCUUCCAUAGCUAGGCUUCCUGUAGCCUUCCUCUUGAUCCUCAGAUCUUCCAUAGCUAGGCUUCCUGUAACUUCCUUCUUCCUGAUCCUCAGAUCUUCCAUAGCUAGGUUUCUUGUAACCUUCCUCUUGUUCCUCAGACCUUCCAUAGCUAGGCUUCCUGUAACCUUCUUCUUGUUCCUCAGACCUACCAUAGCUAGGCUUACGCUCAUACUCAGACUCUGAUCUGCCACCAUAUCCAGAUCCAAGACCCGAUUCAGGUCUCCUCCCAUACUCAACCUCAGUUCUUCCACCACCAGAUCCAUACUCCGAUUGAUUCUCCGUUCUACCACCAUAACUCUGCUCAGGUCUCCGACCAUACUCCGUCUCAGUUUCACCACCAUAUCCAGAUUCAGGCCUCCUACCAUACUCACUCUCCGUCUGACCACCAUAACCAGAUCCAGAUCCAUAACCAGGAUUCGGCCUCUCACCUUGAACAUGACCGCCACCACCUGAAUCGGGUCGAAAUGCGGGUCGUGGCUUGGGUCGAGAAUAGCUACUGUACUCUGUGUUGAGAGCUUCGUCUCCGUAAGCAGAAGGCUCAUGGAUCUGAGUGAAUUCAGGUCUCUCGUAUUCGAAAUCGUCAUCGACACCAGACGAGAGAGGGUAACAAGUCUCAUCGGAAGGUGGGAUCGGACGGCCGUAAAUCACCGUGAUGUCGU
Molecule: long non-coding RNA, 739 nt
Filed under: Capsella grandiflora
Lineage: Eukaryota; Viridiplantae; Streptophyta; Magnoliopsida; Brassicales; Brassicaceae
Description: long non-coding RNA (CGRA_LNC001548)
Source: RNAcentral